GAUGAACGCUGGCGGCGUGCUUAACACAUGCAAGUCGAACGAGAAGUGAAGACGGAAACCUUCGGGCGGAAGGCUUUAUUUCGAGUGGCGGACGGGUGAGUAACGCGUGGGUAACCUGCCUCAUACAGGGGGAUAACAGUUGGAAACGACUGUUAAUACCGCAUAAGACCACAGCACCGCAUGGUGCGGGGGUAAAAACUCCGGUGGUAUGAGAUGGACCCGCGUUCGAUUAGCCAGUUGGCGGGGUAACGGCCCACCAAAGCGACGAUCGAUAGCCGAUCUGAGAGGAUGACCGGCCACAUUGGGACUGAGACACGGCCCAAAUUCCUACGGGAGGCAGCAGUGGGGAAUAUUGCACAAUGGGGGAAACCCUGAUGCAGCGACGCCGCGUGAGUGAAGAAGUAUUUCGGUAUGUAAAGCUCUAUCAGCAGGGAAGAAAAUGACGGUACCUGAGUAAGAAGCCCCGGCUAACUACGUG
RNAcentral lists this ribosomal RNA (478 nucleotides) under uncultured bacterium. RNAcentral's name for it is "partial 16S ribosomal RNA". It matches the Rfam family "Bacterial small subunit ribosomal RNA", at positions 28 to 507 of the family's 1533-position model. The record is from RNAcentral.